UACGUAGGUCCCGAGCGUUGUCCGGAUUUAUUGGGCGUAAAGCGAGCGCAGGUGGUUUAUUAAGUCUGGUGUAAAAGGCAGUGGCUCAACCAUUGUAUGCAUUGGAAACUGGUAGACUUGAGUGCAGGAGAGGAGAGUGGAAUUCCAUGUGUAGCGGUAAAAUGCGUAGAUAUAUGGAGGAACACCGGUGGCGAAAGCGGCUCUCUGGCCUGUAACUGACACUGAGGCUCGAAAGUGUGGGGAGCAAACAGG
This 252-nucleotide ribosomal RNA is filed under the name uncultured bacterium. Its description in RNAcentral is "partial 16S ribosomal RNA". It matches the Rfam family "Bacterial small subunit ribosomal RNA", at positions 524 to 776 of the family's 1533-position model. The record is from RNAcentral.